GUUUCAAAAAACAAAGGGUUUGUUUGUGUGGGUUCAACAUGGGGUCCCAUCUGUAGAGAAUCGUUUGAAAUUCAAAGUUUGAACUAUCCAGCAUAUGACAUGUCAAGGUAUCGGCCGACCGCCCGGGGUUAAACCUGGAUAUCUAAUCAACGCCCCCCAGGACCCCCCCAAACAAAACGCAUGACAGAACGGCUCUUUGAAUUCACAGCCUUUUGGUCUAAAGCAAACAUACAGUUAGUUGGUUGCAUACAGGCUAUCUCUCGAAACUCAUUCCGUACUUUAACAAGUUAGGGACAGAACGUCUAUUUUUAACACGUUUAGCACGGCUUUAGCGCAAACCCAAAGGCCCGAAUAUUUAACUGCCAGGACAGAUAGCAUAGUCUGUAAAGCCCUCCUAAUGGAUAUUUCUGAAGGCUACUGGACAUAAGUGAUUGGGAAGCGACUGUUAGACGUAGAUUCUCAGAAGCAAACGGCGCCCUGUCCUUUACGUAGCCCUUCACGAUCACACAUUUUUAGGCGUAAGUCCAAAUAAUCACAUACCCAAGAAUAUUUAUAUAUUAAAAAAAGAAAAAUGUGCACUCUGAACGACGUCGUAAGACAACAGGCAGCAGUCCCAGGACAGAUAACAGAGUAUGUGAAGCCCUCCUAAUGGAUAUUUCGGGAGCUGAGGGGGACAACGAUUUUUUAUUUUUUUUAUUUUGUAUUUUAUUUUAGGUAUGAUGGACAUCGGACACAUAGGGUGACUUGGAUGCAUUAGGGACUCUGAACGAUAUCGGAGGAACCGAUGAAACAGACAGUAUUCGGUCUUUUUGUAUGAACGUUUUUCCAAACACUCCAAGAACAGAGAAUUUAAACGUCCCGACAACAACCCAGGGAACCACCACCCCCACACAACAUAGUCCAGACCCCAACAACAAAAGCACAACGGUGGCCCAAGUGCAUUGCGCAGAAUCACCAGAGGUAUUAAUUCUAGGCAUUUACAUGUAUGUUUUUAAAAAUGAAGACUAUUUAUACAAUGAAACAAUGUUUUUUUAUUCACACUGUUUGUAAACAAUAACUUUUGCCCUCUUAGGGUCUACUUGACCUGCUUAUUGAUUAGAAAGUAUGAUUAGAAACCAAGGCUGUGGAAUAUAUUCGCUCUCACAGGCUAUGAAAAAGACAAAAGCUAGGACAUUGACUCCGGAGUGUUGAACUUAUGCCCACUCUACAACAACCCAGGUUGUUAUAUGACCCCUGAGGAUCAUCUACGAACGUUGGAACAUCUACAACUAUUGAAGAUGCAAAAAGGGGUUUUCAGAAACACAUUUGGUUUACAGAUAUGUAUUAUUAUAAAAAUAAUAUAACAUUAUUAUCAUAAUCUAAAACACUUUAAAGGAUCUCUAAUUCAAACAUGCAAGGAUAUAUAUAUAUAUAUGAUACGAUUAACCACUUUAAAACUGUUGCUGCAAUAUCACUUCUCAAUGUGUGUACAUUUCAAGCUUUCAACAACAAUAAACAAACCAGCUCAAUAAUGUUUCUCAGACUUACAAACUGUUGAGUUUUCCUAGUUAGUAAAGAAACAACCACUAAGCCAAAACCCCAAAAGUUGUAAUAUAAUCUGUAUACAAGUCAUUCUAUACAGAAAACAGGUACAUUUUGAUUGAUCAAGAAUUCCCAAUAGGUUUGUGUCACGCCCUGACCAUAGUUUGCUAUGUAUGUUUAUAGGUUUUGUUUGGUAUGGGUGUGAUAUGAGUGGGCAUUCUAUGCUGUAUGUCUAGUUUGUCUUUUUCCAGUGUUUGGCCGGAUAUUGUUUUCAAUCAGAGGCCUGUGUUAGUCGUUGUCUCUGAUCGGGAACCAUAUUUAGGUAGCCUGUGUUGUCAUUGUUGGGUGAUUGUCUAUGUUAGGUGCUUGUGUCAGCACAUUGGGUAUAUAGCGUCACGGUCGUUGUUCAUUUAUUGGCUUGUUCAGUUUACUUUGUGUUUUCGUCAUCCAUUAAAACGAUGCAUUCACACCA
Molecule: non-coding RNA, 1993 nt
Organism: Oncorhynchus mykiss (rainbow trout)
Lineage: Eukaryota; Metazoa; Chordata; Actinopteri; Salmoniformes; Salmonidae
Source: RefSeq, a predicted model, not a curated record